RNAcentral lists this ribosomal RNA (986 nucleotides) under Staphylococcus epidermidis. Its description in RNAcentral is "bacterial SSU rRNA". It matches the Rfam family "Bacterial small subunit ribosomal RNA", at positions 38 to 998 of the family's 1533-position model. Lineage: Bacteria; Bacillati; Bacillota; Bacilli; Caryophanales; Staphylococcaceae. The record is from RNAcentral.
CGCUGGGGGCACAAUACAUGCAGUCGAGCGACAGACGAGGAGCUUGCUCCUCUGACGUUAGCGGCGGACGGGUGAGUAACACGUGGAUAACCUACCUAUAAGACUGGGAUAACUUCGGGAAACCGGAGCUAAUACCGGAUAAUAUAUUGAACCGCAUGGUUCAAUAGUGAAAGACGGUUUUGCUGUCACUUAUAGAUGGAUCCGCGCCGCAUUAGCUAGUUGGUAAGGUAACGGCUUACCAAGGCAACGAUGCGUAGCCGACCUGAGAGGGUGAUCGGCCACACUGGAACUGAGACACGGUCCAGACUCCUACGGGAGGCAGCAGUAGGGAAUCUUCCGCAAUGGGCGAAAGCCUGACGGAGCAACGCCGCGUGAGUGAUGAAGGUCUUCGGAUCGUAAAACUCUGUUAUUAGGGAAGAACAAAUGUGUAAGUAACUAUGCACGUCUUGACGGUACCUAAUCAGAAAGCCACGGCUAACUACGUGCCAGCAGCCGCGGUAAUACGUAGGUGGCAAGCGUUAUCCGGAAUUAUUGGGCGUAAAGCGCGCGUAGGCGGUUUUUUAAGUCUGAUGUGAAAGCCCACGGCUCAACCGUGGAGGGUCAUUGGAAACUGGAAAACUUGAGUGCAGAAGAGGAAAGUGGAAUUCCAUGUGUAGCGGUGAAAUGCGCAGAGAUAUGGAGGAACACCAGUGGCGAAGGCGACUUUCUGGUCUGUAACUGACGCUGAUGUGCGAAAGCGUGGGGAUCAAACCAGGAUUAGAUACCCUGGUAGUCCACGCCGUUAAACGAUGAGUGCUAAGUGUUAAGGGGGGUUUUCCGCCCCCUUAGUGCUGCAACUAAGCCAUUAAGCACUCCGGCUGGGGGAAGUACGACCCCAAGUUGAAACUAUAAGAAAUUGACGAGGAGACCCCGCACCAGCUCUGCAGCAUGUGGGUUUAUUCGAAGCAACCGCCGAAACAAACUUGACCAUGACCUUGGCAAAUCUG